UCCAGCCCUGAGAUUACCAUGCUAAUCCCCACAAUAGCUCUGUGCAGCUGGUUUGAACAACUAUCAGCACUAUUGUUUAUGUUGUCAUCUCUGCUGGAUCGUUCUCACGAGGAGGAACCGUUUCAGCGGAUUUGUGUUCACUUUUUCGGAUGGAAUUUCUCGGAAUGACGACCGCUUCCACUAAAAUGAUUGGAACAGGCUCGGUGUUAUGUCAACAACAGACGAAGUGGAAUCCCCCCAAAGUUCAAUGUGCAUUACUUGGUUGUUCUUCAGAAAUAGUCACAUCACUACAUGAGGCCGUGGGAAAUACUGAAAUAUCCUGUCGAAGGCUACAAGAAAGUAACACAAAAAGACAACAUAUCAAGUAGGAGCACACUCACAGACUAUCCGCCCAGUGAAUGCUCAACUUUUUACAUUACGUGUUCUGGGAUAAGCUCCAGCCUCACUCCUGUGACCUUGAGCAGGAUACAGAGGAAAAAGGUGGAAAAUUAAAUUCAGCUUCCAAAUCCAAAGA
This is a long non-coding RNA of Hippoglossus stenolepis (Pacific halibut), 514 nucleotides long. RefSeq lists it as uncharacterized. Lineage: Eukaryota; Metazoa; Chordata; Actinopteri; Pleuronectiformes; Pleuronectidae. The transcript has 2 exons. The record is from RefSeq and is a predicted model, not a curated record.